AAAUUGAAGAGUUUGAUCAUGGCUCAGAUUGAACGCUGGCGGCAGGCCUAACACAUGCAAGUCGAACGGUAACAGGAAGCAGCUUGCUGCUUCGCUGACGAGUGGCGGACGGGUGAGUAAUGUCUGGGAAACUGCCUGAUGGAGGGGGAUAACUACUGGAAACGGUAGCUAAUACCGCAUAAUGUCGCAAGACCAAAGAGGGGGACCUUCGGGCCUCUUGCCAUCGGAUGUGCCCAGAUGGGAUUAGCUUGUUGGUGGGGUAACGGCUCACCAAGGCGACGAUCCCUAGCUGGUCUGAGAGGAUGACCAGCCACACUGGAACUGAGACACGGUCCAGACUCCUACGGGAGGCAGCAGUGGGGAAUAUUGCACAAUGGGCGCAAGCCUGAUGCAGCCAUGCCGCGUGUAUGAAGAAGGCCUUCGGGUUGUAAAGUACUUUCAGCGGGGAGGAAGGGAGUAAAGUUAAUACCUUUGCUCAUUGACGUUAUCCGCAGAAGAAGCACCGGCUAACUCCGUGCCAGCAGCCGCGGUAAUACGGAGGGUGCAAGCGUUAAUCGGAAUUACUGGGCGUAAAGCGCACGAAGGCGGUUUGUUAAGUCAGAUGUGAAAUCCCCGGGCUCAACCUGGGAACUGCAUCUGAUACUGGCAAGCUUGAGUCUCGUAGAGGGGGGUAGAAUUCCAGGUGUAGCGGUGAAAUGCGUAGAGAUCUGGAGGAAUACCGGUGGCGAAGGCGGCCCCCUGGACGAAGACUGACGCUCAGGUGCGAAAGCGUGGGGAGCAAACAGGAUUAGAUACCCUGGUAGUCCACGCCGUAAACGAUGUCGACUUGGAGGUUGUGCCCUUGAGGCGUGGCUUCCGGAGCUAACGCGUUAAGUCGACCGCCUGGGGAGUACGGCCGCAAGGUUAAAACUCAAAUGAAUUGACGGGGGCCCGCACAAGCGGUGGAGCAUGUGGUUUAAUUCGAUGCAACGCGAAGAACCUUACCUGGUCUUGACAUCCACGGAAGUUUUCAGAGAUGAGAAUGUGCCUUCGGGAACCGUGAGACAGGUGCUGCAUGGCUGUCGUCAGCUCGUGUUGUGAAAUGUUGGGUUAAGUCCCGCAACGAGCGCAACCCUUAUCCUUUGUUGCCAGCGGUCCGGCCGGGAACUCAAAGGAGACUGCCAGUGAUAAACUGGAGGAAGGUGGGGACGACGUCAAGUCAUCAUGGCCCUUACGACCAGGGCUACACACGUGCUACAAUGGCGCAUACAAAGAGAAGCGACCUCGCGAGAGCAAGCGGACCUCAUAAAGUGCGUCGUAGUCCGGAUUGGAGUCUGCAACUCGACUCCAUGAAGUCGGAAUCGCUAGUAAUCGUGGAUCAGAAUGCCACGGUGAAUACGUUCCCGGGCCUUGUACACACCGCCCGUCACACCAUGGGAGUGGGUUGCAAAAGAAGUAGGUAGCUUAACCUUCGGGAGGGCGCUUACCACUUUGUGAUUCAUGACUGGGGUGAAGUCGUAACAAGGUAACCGUAGGGGAACCUGCGGUUGGAUCACCUCCUUACCUUAAAGAAGC
This 1554-nucleotide ribosomal RNA is filed under the name Shigella boydii. RNAcentral describes it as "bacterial SSU rRNA". It matches the Rfam family "Bacterial small subunit ribosomal RNA". Lineage: Bacteria; Pseudomonadati; Pseudomonadota; Gammaproteobacteria; Enterobacterales; Enterobacteriaceae. The record is from RNAcentral.